This is a long non-coding RNA of Triticum dicoccoides, 401 nucleotides long. RefSeq lists it as uncharacterized. The record is from RefSeq and is a predicted model, not a curated record. The transcript is spliced from 3 exons. NCBI's taxonomy places the organism in Eukaryota, Viridiplantae, Streptophyta, Magnoliopsida, Poales, Poaceae.
GCAUCCCACCACCCUUGGCCCUACCCAGCAGGGCUGCCUUUUACACGUUGCUUGCACCCCGUGCUCCCUCCUCCUCCAGAUCCGAGUCACUCCAAUCUACAUGCAUCAAGACGCCCCUAUUCUUCCGACAUGACAGCAGCUGAUCUGUUUUCUUGUGGAACUCUCCGAGAAUUAAGAAACCCUCUGUUUUGCUUGGAACACUUGGCCUAGUUGUCUGCCCCUCCUCUUCUGUGCUUUACAGCUUCUCCAUAACCAUGGAGAAACCUGAAGAUCCAAGUGGAGAAAAGAAAGGUUGGCCAGCAAGCUUUCUUGAACCAAUGAUGAAAGAGUAUGUCGAUGCGGCAAAGUUUUGUGGUCAAAAUGGAUGGACAAAGGAGUUGGGGCAUGACAAGCAAAACCUA